Molecule: ribosomal RNA, 441 nt
Filed under: uncultured bacterium
Lineage: Bacteria
Description: partial 16S ribosomal RNA
Rfam family: Bacterial small subunit ribosomal RNA
Source: RNAcentral
CCUACGGGUGGCAGCAGUAGGGAAUAUUGCGCAAUGGGCGAAAGCCUGACGCAGCAACGCCGCGUGAUUGAUUAAGCCUUUCGGGGUGUAAAGAUCUGUCAGUGGGGACGAAAAUUGACGGUACUCACAGAGGAAGCACCGGCUAAAUGCGUGCAAGCAGCCGCGGUAAUACGGAGGGUGCAAGCGUUGUCCGGAAUCAUUGGGCUUAAAGGGUUCGUAGGUGGUAUGUUAAGUCUGAUGUUAAAUGCAGAAGCUCAACUUCAGUUCGGCACUGGAUCCUGGUAAGUUUGAAUGCGGUUGAGGUAAGGGGAAUUCCUGGUGUAGCGGGGAAAUGCUGAGAUAUCAGGAGGAACAUCGGUUGCGAAAGCGCUUUACUGGGCCGUAAUUGACACUGAGGAACGAAAGCCGGGGUAGCAAAUGGGAUUAGAUACCCGUGUAGUC